Molecule: ribosomal RNA, 466 nt
Filed under: uncultured bacterium
Lineage: Bacteria
Description: partial 16S ribosomal RNA
Rfam family: Bacterial small subunit ribosomal RNA
Source: RNAcentral
GAUGAACGCUGGCGGCGUGCUUAACACAUGCAAGUCGAACGAUGAAGCCCAGCUUGCUGGGUGGAUUAGUGGCGAACGGGUGAGUAACACGUGAGUAACCUGCCCUUGACUCUGGGAUAAGCCUGGGAAACUGGGUCUAAUACUGGAUAUGACUUCUCAUCGCAUGGUGGGGGGUGGAAAGAUUUAUUGGUCUUGGAUGGACUCGCGGCCUAUCAGCUUGUUGGUGAGGUAAUGGCUCACCAAGGCGACGACGGGUAGCCGGCCUGAGAGGGUGACCGGCCACACUGGGACUGUGACACGGCCCAGACUCCUACGGGAGGCAGCAGUGGGGAAUAUUGCACAAUGGGCGCAAGCCUGAUGCAGCGACGCCGCGUGAGGGAUGACGGCCUUCGGGUUGUAAACCUCUUUCAGUAGGGAAGAAGCGAGAGUGACGGUACCUGCAGAAGAAGCGCCGGCUAACUACGUG